This 484-nucleotide ribosomal RNA is filed under the name uncultured bacterium. RNAcentral describes it as "bacterial SSU rRNA". It matches the Rfam family "Bacterial small subunit ribosomal RNA", at positions 31 to 507 of the family's 1533-position model. The record is from RNAcentral.
GAACGCUAGCUACAGGCUUAACACAUGCAAGUCGAGGGGCAGCAUGAACAUAGCUUGCUACUUUUGAUGGCGACCGGCGCACGGGUGCGUAACAGGUGUGCAAUCCGUCCAUAAUCGGGGAAUAGCCCAGCGAAAGUUGGAUUAAUGCUCCAUGUGAGCUUGAGAGGCAUCUCUCGAGUUUGAAACGCAAGGAUUAUGGGUGAGCACGCUUCUGAUUAGGUAGUUGGUGAGGUAACGGCUCACCAAGCCGACGAUCAGUAGGGGUUCUGAGAGGAAGGUCCCCCACAUUGGAACUGAGACACGGUCCAAACUCCUACGGGAGGCAGCAGUGAGGAAUAUUGGUCAAUGGACGCAAGUCUGAACCAGCCAAGUCGCGUGAAGGAUGAAGGUUCUAUGGAUUGUAAACUUCUUUUGUCUGAGGGUAAAAAAGCGGACGUGUCCGUUCUUGCAAGUAUCAGACGAAUAAGCAUCGGCUAACUCCGUG